RNAcentral lists this ribosomal RNA (465 nucleotides) under Vreelandella stevensii. RNAcentral's name for it is "partial 16S ribosomal RNA". It matches the Rfam family "Bacterial small subunit ribosomal RNA", at positions 338 to 795 of the family's 1533-position model. Lineage: Bacteria; Pseudomonadati; Pseudomonadota; Gammaproteobacteria; Oceanospirillales; Halomonadaceae. The record is from RNAcentral.
CCUACGGGUGGCAGCAGUGGGGAAUAUUGGACAAUGGGGGCAACCCUGAUCCAGCCAUGCCGCGUGUGUGAAGAAGGCCCUCGGGUUGUAAAGCACUUUCAGUGAGGAAGAACGCCUGGUGGUUAAUACCCAUCAGGAAAGACAUCACUCACAGAAGAAGCACCGGCUAACUCCGUGCCAGCAGCCGCGGUAAUACGGAGGGUGCGAGCGUUAAUCGGAAUUACUGGGCGUAAAGCGCGCGUAGGUGGCUUGAUAAGCCGGUUGUGAAAGCCCCGGGCUCAACCUGGGAACGGCAUCCGGAACUGUCAAGCUAGAGUGCAGGAGAGGAAGGUAGAAUUCCCGGUGUAGCGGUGAAAUGCGUAGAGAGCGGGAGGAAUACCAGUGGCGAAGGCGGCCUUCUGGACUGACACUGACACUGAGGUGCGAAAGCGUGGGUAGCAAACAGGAUUAGAUACCCGGGUAGUC